GACGUAGGAUGCAAGCGUUGUCCGGAUUUAUUGGGCGUAAAGAGUUCGUAGGUGGUUUGUUAAGUCUGAUGUCAAAUACCGAGGCUCAACCUCGGACCUGCAUUGGAUACUGGCAGACUGGAGUGCAGUAGAGGCGAGUGGAAUUCCCAGUGUAGCGGUGAAAUGCGUAGAUAUUGGGAAGAACACCAGUGGCGUAAGCGACUCGCUGGGCUGCAACUGACACUGAGGAACGAAAGCCAGGGGAGCGAAUGGG
This 253-nucleotide ribosomal RNA is filed under the name uncultured prokaryote. RNAcentral's name for it is "partial 16S ribosomal RNA". It matches the Rfam family "Bacterial small subunit ribosomal RNA", at positions 524 to 776 of the family's 1533-position model. The record is from RNAcentral.